UACGGAGGGGACAAGCGUUGUUCGGAAUUACUGGGCGUAAAGCGCGCGUAGGCGGUUUUGUAAGUCAGGGGUGAAAUCCCGGGGCUCAACCUCGGAACUGCCUUUGAUACUGCAAAUCUCGAGUCCGGAAGAGGUGAGUGGAAUUCCUAGUGUAGAGGUGAAAUUCGUAGAUAUUAGGAAGAACACCAGUGGCGAAGGCGGCUCACUGGUCCGGUACUGACGCUGAGGUGCGAAAGCGUGGGGAGCAAACAGG
This 253-nucleotide ribosomal RNA is filed under the name uncultured bacterium. RNAcentral's name for it is "partial 16S ribosomal RNA". It matches the Rfam family "Bacterial small subunit ribosomal RNA", at positions 524 to 776 of the family's 1533-position model. The record is from RNAcentral.